AGAGUUUGAUUAUGGCUCAGAACGACGCUGGCGGCAUGGAUUAGGCAUGCAAGUCGAACGAAGUAGCAAUACUUAGUGGCGCAAGGGUGAGGAACGCGUGAGUGACCUACCGCAAGUUUGGAACAGCUCCUGGAAACGGGAAUUAAUACCGGAUGUGAUCAACGGGCUGCAUGGUUUGUUGAUUAAAGCAGUAAUGCGCUUGCGGAUGGGCUCGCGUCCCAUUAGCUAGUUGGUGAGGUAACGGCCCACCAAGGCCAUGAUGGGUAGCUGGUCUGAGAGGACGACCAGCCACACUGGGACUGAGAACUGCCCAGACUCCUACGGGAGGCUGCAGUCGAGAAUUUUGGGCAAUGGACGAAAGUCUGACCCAAGCAAUGCCGCGUGCGGGAUGAAGGUCUUCGGAUUGUAAACCGCUGUUUGGAGGGACGAAAAUUGACGGUACUUCCAGAGAAAGCCACGGCUAACUACGUGCCAGCAGCAGC
This 482-nucleotide ribosomal RNA is filed under the name uncultured bacterium. Its description in RNAcentral is "bacterial SSU rRNA". It matches the Rfam family "Bacterial small subunit ribosomal RNA", at positions 8 to 518 of the family's 1533-position model. The record is from RNAcentral.